Rhododendron vialii is the source of this 413-nucleotide long non-coding RNA. RefSeq lists it as uncharacterized. NCBI's taxonomy places the organism in Eukaryota, Viridiplantae, Streptophyta, Magnoliopsida, Ericales, Ericaceae. The record is from RefSeq and is a predicted model, not a curated record. The transcript is spliced from 2 exons.
GAACAGAUCACGCUUUCCCCUUCCUCCCCUUCUCACGAUCUUAUUUUUUGAACUGCCCUCCCUUUCUCAAAAACACAUCGCUGAGAAACACAAAGAAAGAGGCGACCACCACUAGUGACCACCACAACCCAACCCAAUGCUCCACCACCGUCGGCUACCGCUACCACCACCGGCUUCUGAGCACUCCAUUGCUGUUACCUCUACCACGAAGAAUGGACCUAAAGAUCUUACGGAGCAAAGUCAAGGCGUAAAUUACAGAGCAUUGAGCAAUUGAUGUCGAGCAAGCUAGAGAUCUCCUAGAUAAGUUGAAGAAAUGGAAGGCAACAAAUGGGGAGAUGGAGAAUGAGAAAUGCCCGGCGUGGAGGAAUUGAUGUCCAGCAAGGAAUUCUUUGUAUCAAACAAUGAAGCACUGG